RNAcentral lists this ribosomal RNA (407 nucleotides) under uncultured prokaryote. RNAcentral's name for it is "bacterial SSU rRNA". It matches the Rfam family "Bacterial small subunit ribosomal RNA", at positions 355 to 776 of the family's 1533-position model. The record is from RNAcentral. RNAcentral also lists the same sequence under 1 other name.
UUAGGAAUAUUGGGCAAUGGAGGAAACUCUGACCCAGCAACGCCGCGUGAAGGAAGAAGGUUUUCGGACUGUAAACUUCUGAUCUGAGGGAAAAAGAAAGUGAUGGUACCUCAGGAGAAAGCCACGGCUAACUACGUGCCAGCAGCCGCGGUAAUACGUAGGUGGCGAGCGUUGUCCGGAAUGACUGGGCGUAAAGGGAGCGUAGGUUGCGAUUUAAGUUAAAUGUGAAAGCCCGUGGCUCAACCACGGAACUGCAUUUAAUACUGGAUUGCUAGAGUACAGGAGGGGUGAGCGGAAUUCCUAGUGUAGCGGUGAAAUGCGUAGAUAUUAGGAAGAACACCGGAGGCGAAGGCGGCUCACUGGACUGCAACUGACACUGAGGCUCGAAAGCGUGGGGAGCAAACAGG